GCGCCCGUAGCUCAGCUGGAUAGAGUACCUGGCUACGAACCAGGUGGUCGGAGGUUCGAAUCCUCCCGGGCGCA
Molecule: transfer RNA, 74 nt
Filed under: Aeromonas salmonicida
Lineage: Bacteria; Pseudomonadati; Pseudomonadota; Gammaproteobacteria; Aeromonadales; Aeromonadaceae
Description: tRNA-Arg
Rfam family: tRNA
About the family: Transfer RNA (tRNA) molecules are approximately 80 nucleotides in length. Their secondary structure includes four short double-helical elements and three loops (D, anti-codon, and T loops). Further hydrogen bonds mediate the characteristic L-shaped molecular structure. tRNAs have two regions of fundamental functional importance: the anti-codon, which is responsible for specific mRNA codon recognition, and the 3' end, to which the tRNAs corresponding amino acid is attached (by aminoacyl-tRNA synthetases). tRNAs cope with the degeneracy of the genetic code in two manners: having more than one tRNA (with a specific anti-codon) for a particular amino acid; and 'wobble' base-pairing, i.e. permitting non-standard base-pairing at the 3rd anti-codon position.
Source: RNAcentral